Molecule: long non-coding RNA, 244 nt
Filed under: Nicotiana benthamiana
Lineage: Eukaryota; Viridiplantae; Streptophyta; Magnoliopsida; Solanales; Solanaceae
Description: long non-coding RNA (NBEN_LNC004470)
Source: RNAcentral
CCUAUAAGACUUGCAUAUUUUGUAAUAAAAUGCAUAUAGAAAUCCUGCCUAUAGGAUUUGCAUUAUUUGUAAUCAAAUGAAUAUAGAAAUACUUCCUAUAGGACUUGCAUAUUUUUGUAAUCAAAUGCAUAUAGAAAUCCUGCCUAUAAGACUUGCAUACGCGAUAGGCAAGUUGUAGGGUUAAAUGCUCAAUUAUUUAUCAAUUCCUUAACGGCUUUUAAAAUCAGAAGAAUAGACAUCAUGC